UACGUAGGGUGCAAGCGUUAAUCGGAAUUACUGGGCGUAAAGCGUGCGCAGGCGGUUUCGUAAGUCUGUCGUGAAAGCCCCGGGCUCAACCUGGGAAUGGCGAUGGAGACUGCGAGGCUAGAGUGUGUCAGAGGGGGGUAGAAUUCCACGUGUAGCAGUGAAAUGCGUAGAGAUGUGGAGGAACACCGAUGGCGAAGGCAGCCCCCUGGGAUAACACUGACGCUCAUGCACGAAAGCGUGGGGAGCAAACAGG
RNAcentral lists this ribosomal RNA (253 nucleotides) under uncultured bacterium. Its description in RNAcentral is "partial 16S ribosomal RNA". It matches the Rfam family "Bacterial small subunit ribosomal RNA", at positions 524 to 776 of the family's 1533-position model. The record is from RNAcentral.